CCUACGGGUGGCUGCAGUGGGGAAUAUUGGACAAUGGGGGGAACCCUGAUCCAGCCAUGCCGCGUGUGUGAAGAAGGCCCUCGGGUUGUAAAGCACUUUCAGUGAGGAAGAACACCUGGUGGUUAAUACCCAUCAGGAAAGACAUCACUCACAGAAGAAGCACCGGCUAACUCCGUGCCAGCAGCCGCGGUAAUACGGAGGGUGCGAGCGUUAAUCGGAAUUACUGGGCGUAAAGCGCGCGUAGGUGGCUUGAUAAGCCGGUUGUGAAAGCCCCGGGCUCAACCUGGGAACGGCAUCCGGAACUGUCAAGCUAGAGUGCAGGAGAGGAAGGUAGAAUUCCCGGUGUAGCGGUGAAAUGCGUAGAGAUCGGGAGGAAUACCAGUGGCGAAGGCGGCCUUCUGGACUGACACUGACACUGAGGUGCGAAAGCGUGGGUAGCAAACAGGAUUAGAUACCCUAGUAGUC
This 465-nucleotide ribosomal RNA is filed under the name Vreelandella stevensii. RNAcentral's name for it is "partial 16S ribosomal RNA". It matches the Rfam family "Bacterial small subunit ribosomal RNA", at positions 338 to 795 of the family's 1533-position model. The record is from RNAcentral. Lineage: Bacteria; Pseudomonadati; Pseudomonadota; Gammaproteobacteria; Oceanospirillales; Halomonadaceae.